Molecule: ribosomal RNA, 274 nt
Filed under: uncultured bacterium
Lineage: Bacteria
Description: partial 16S ribosomal RNA
Rfam family: Bacterial small subunit ribosomal RNA
Source: RNAcentral
AUACGGAGGAUGCGAGCGUUAUCCGGAUUCAUUGGGUUUAAAGGGUGCGUAGGCGGAAUAAUAAGUCAGGGGUGAAAGUUUGCGGCUCAACCGUAAAAUUGCCUUUGAUACUGUUAUUCUUGAGUACACGCGAGGUAUGCGGAAUGUGAUGUGUAGCGGUGAAAUGCUUAGAUAUAUCACAGAACACCGAUUGCGAAGGCAGCAUACUAGAGUGUCACUGACGCUGAUGCACGAAAGCGUGGGUAUCGAACAGAAUUAGAAACCCUAGUAGUCC